GCAGAGCAGCUGAUUUAGCCUUGUUUGUGUGUUUACGUCUCGCGAAGUUCGCAGAUUUGGACCUUUUAUCGCGUUUAUCGGGGAUGCGGCGGCUGUUGCAGGCGUCGGCGCCGCUGUCGGCGCCGCUGUCGGCGCCGCUGUCGGCGCCGCCGGACGAGGCCAUGCCCGGCAAGCUGCGGAAAAAGAGCGGCAAAACAUAGCCAAGGUGGUGCCGUGAGGACCGCGAGCAAUUUCUGCCGAUGAUCGUUGAUCAGCGACCCUCCCUGGGGACGCCAGGUCUCUUUUUUAAUCUAAAAGGUUCGACUAGAGGAGCGUGGAAAGAAUUUGUGCUGAGUGAAUAAUUCUGCUGGCGAGGAGAUGGUGCAGGUGGCGCCGACAAUGCCGCCAGCCCCAGCAUCAGGUCGUCGACGUCGGAAAGACACGUGAGAAGAUCGCUGACCUGCCGAGAGUUGACCCUGAUUGGCAGAAGCAGGAGUAAGGGCAAGGUGCGGAGAAAAGGACAACCUUGGGCAGCAGCACCGUGACUCCGACUGUUCGUCCGAGACGUCGGUGACGAGCGGCCGCAAGUCGAACCCUUCGCCAAAGGGCCAAGUCCAAACACACCGAAGAGACCACCUACAGGCUCGGCAGCUGCGGUAUGGUCACCUGGUGGGGUUCGGCGUCAGGUAUAACUCGUACCUGUUGUCGUGGGCGAUCGCGUCCUGGAUCUGGCAGCACUACUUCGAAGAGAACCUUUGCUCGUGAAUUGAAUGAUCUUCCGCAACGGUAUCUGUAUAUUUUAUUUUUUGUUAGAUUCUUUCAAGUAAAAUAAAUCCAUAAUAAGAUAGGGA
Cloeon dipterum is the source of this 830-nucleotide long non-coding RNA. RefSeq lists it as uncharacterized. The record is from RefSeq and is a predicted model, not a curated record. NCBI's taxonomy places the organism in Eukaryota, Metazoa, Arthropoda, Insecta, Ephemeroptera, Baetidae. The transcript is spliced from 5 exons.